GACGAACGCUGGCGGUGUGCUUAACACAUGCAAGUCGAACGGAAAGGCCCUGCUUUUGUGGGGUGCUCGAGUGGCGAACGGGUGAGUAACACGUGAGUAACCUGCCCUUGACUUUGGGAUAACUUCAGUAAACUGGGGCUAAUACCGGAUAGGAGCUCCUGCUGCAUGGUGGGGGUUGGAAAGUUUCGGCGGUUGGGGAUGGACUCGCAGCUUAUCAGCUUGUUGGUGGGGUAGUGGCUUACCAAGGCUUUGACGGGUAGCCGGCCUGAGAGGGUGACCGGCCACAUUGGGACUGAGAUACGGCCCAGACUCCUACGGGAGGCAGCAGUGGGGAAUAUUGCACAAUGGGCGGAAGCCUGAUGCAGCAACGCCGCGUGCGGGAUGACGGCCUUCGGGUUGUAAACCGCUUUCGCCUGUGACGAAGCGUGAGUGACGGUAAUGGGUAAAGAAGCACCGGCUAACUACGUG
RNAcentral lists this ribosomal RNA (468 nucleotides) under uncultured bacterium. RNAcentral's name for it is "partial 16S ribosomal RNA". It matches the Rfam family "Bacterial small subunit ribosomal RNA", at positions 28 to 507 of the family's 1533-position model. The record is from RNAcentral.